AAGGAGCUUGGACAUCCCGCUGCCCCAGCCCAGUCCCCAGGAACGGAGUGUUCUCAAGGCUUCGGGACAAAAAUCUGGAAGUAGAGGAAGCAACUCUCAUUUGAACGGAGAUCUGAGUGAUGAAAAGAAGCAGACAGAGGCAUCAGGGAGUUCAAAGGCCCUGAGUCCAGGAAUCUCACCUCCCCACCUGGGUUGUGAGGUCUUCUGGGGCAAGGAUGGCGCCUGCUCUUCCUUGGGCCCACUCUCCCAGCCCGGUCAGCCGGAGGACCGGACACCUAAGAGCUGCUUGCCUCUCCUUGAACUCUGAAAGCAGUUGGCGAUCAGAAAGGUAAGGAGCUGGAUGCCCAGUGGCAGAGGCUCUCCAGGGACGUCCCCACUGCCAAACACAGUUUUCCGGUGCUCCCUAGGAAUCUGCCUUUCCUGUCCUAACUGGAUUCCAGGGUAAUGCAGGCUUUCUUUCCUCUGUACAACUCUCCUAGAGGAGCUGUGUUAGCUGGAUAAGCUGCCCGGAGCUGGCCUAGCUGGAGAGCAGCUCGACAAGAAUUCCUUUGUUCCCAGGCAUCUCUGUGGCACAGGCAUCCAGUGUCAAUUCCUGUCCAAGCCUCUCCCCAGGGCCCUGGCAGGAGACCCAGCACAUUUGGAAGAAGCCCGCCACCUGCCAGAGCUGCAGGUCCUAGAUGCCCAGAAGUUAUAGUGCCCAAGGUCACCCCAGGCUCACAAGUGACUUUGUCCUCAG
RNAcentral lists this long non-coding RNA (736 nucleotides) under Sus scrofa (pig). Its description in RNAcentral is "lncRNA (ENSSSCG00035053189.1)". Lineage: Eukaryota; Metazoa; Chordata; Mammalia; Artiodactyla; Suidae. The record is from RNAcentral.